RNAcentral lists this ribosomal RNA (490 nucleotides) under uncultured bacterium. RNAcentral describes it as "partial 16S ribosomal RNA". It matches the Rfam family "Bacterial small subunit ribosomal RNA", at positions 30 to 507 of the family's 1533-position model. The record is from RNAcentral.
AUUGAACGCUGGCGGCAGGCCUAACACAUGCAAGUCGAACGGUAACAGGAAACAGCUUGCUGUUUCGCUGACGAGUGGCGGACGGGUGAGUAAUGUCUGGGAAACUGCCUGAUGGAGGGGGAUAACUACUGGAAACGGUAGCUAAUACCGCAUAACGUCGCAAGACCAAAGAGGGGGACCCUCGGGCCUCUUGCCCUCGGAUGUGCCCAGAUGGGAUUAGCUUGUUGGUGGGGUAACGGCUCACCAAGACGACGAUCCCUAGCUGGUCUGAGAGGAUGACCAGCCACACUGGAACUGAGGCACGGUCCAGACUCCUACGGGAGGCAGCAGUGGGGAAUAUUGCACAAUGGGCGCAAGCCUAAUGCAGCCAUGCCGCGUGUAUGAAGAAGGCCUUCGGGUUGUAAAGUACUUUCAGCGGGGAGGAAGGGAGUAAAGUUAAUACCUUUACUCAUUGACGUUACCCGCAGAAGAAGCACCGGCUAACUCCGUG